ACUACGGGAGGCUGCAGUAAGGGAUAUUGGUCAAUGGGGGAAACCCUGAACCAGCAACGCCGCGUGAGGGAAGACGGUUUUCGGAUUGUAAACCUCUGUCCUCUGUGAAGUUGAUGACGGUAGCAGAGGAGGAAGCUCAUGAUAACUACGUGCCAGAAGCCGCGGUAAUACGUAGGGAUCGAGCGUUGUACGGAUUUACUGGGUGUAAAGGGUGCGUAGGCGGCUUGUCAAGUCAGUAGUGAGAUCCAUGGGCUUAACCCAUGAACUGCUAUUGAAACUGUCGAGCUUGAGUGAAGUAGAGGUAGGCGGAAUUCCUGGUGUAGCGGUGAAAUGCGUAGAGAUCGGGAGGAACACCAGUGGCGAAGGCGGCCUACUGGGCUUUAACUGACGCUGAGGCACGAAAGCGUGGGUAGCAAACAGGAUUAGAUACCCGUGUAGUC
This 440-nucleotide ribosomal RNA is filed under the name uncultured bacterium. RNAcentral describes it as "partial 16S ribosomal RNA". It matches the Rfam family "Bacterial small subunit ribosomal RNA", at positions 338 to 795 of the family's 1533-position model. The record is from RNAcentral.